AGUGAACGCUGGCGGUAGGCCUAACACAUGCAAGUCGAACGGCAGCACAGUAAGAGCUUGCUCUUACGGGUGGCGAGUGGCGGACGGGUGAGGAAUACAUCGGAAUCUACUUUUUCGCGGGGGAUAACGUAGGGAAACUUACGCUAAUACCGCAUACGACCUACGGGUGAAAGCAGGGGAUCUUCGGACCUUGCGCGAUUGAAUGAGCCGAUGUCGGAUUAGUUAGUUGGCGGGGUAAAGGCCCACCAAGGCGACGAUCCGUAGCUGGUCUGAGAGGAUGAUCAGCCACACUGGAACUGAGACACGGUCCAGACUCCUACGGGAGGCAGCAGUGGGGAAUAUUGGACAAUGGGCGCAAGCCUGAUCCAGCCAUACCGCGUGGGUGAAGAAGGCCUUCGGGUUGUAAAGCCCUUUUGUUGGGAAAGAAAAGCAGCAGGUUAAUACCCCGCUGUUCUGACGGUACCCAAAGAAUAAGCACCGGCUAACUUCGUG
Molecule: ribosomal RNA, 492 nt
Filed under: uncultured bacterium
Lineage: Bacteria
Description: partial 16S ribosomal RNA
Rfam family: Bacterial small subunit ribosomal RNA
Source: RNAcentral